This 2009-nucleotide unclassified non-coding RNA is filed under the name Eurytemora carolleeae. Its description in RNAcentral is "flocculation protein FLO11". Lineage: Eukaryota; Metazoa; Arthropoda; Copepoda; Calanoida; Temoridae. The record is from RNAcentral.
CACCUCAACAUUAAAGGUUUAAGUUUAUUUCAAAAUGGCAGCUCAAGGAUGGAUCAAUUAGUACGAGGUUUCGCCUCACUACACUUUCAUUUGACUUUACAGUAAACACAAGUUGAUUUGGGAAUUUAUAGGAAAACAGUUGACUUCAAAGACAAAAAUCAAAUAUUCAAUUAAAGUAAAAUUUAAAGAAACUUGACACCAGUCCUACAAUAGUUUCCGUACAGGCAUAAUGCAAUUAGUGCUUCUCCUCUGCUUUUUCCAACUGUUUAAAGAUAAAAUGUUGAUAAUUGGAGAAAAAUUGAAUGAAGAAGAUGCAUCUGGUGCUAUUGUAAGAAUUGGGAAUAGUUAUUUUCUUCUGGAUGAAACUGAUCUAGACGAUAUCUAUCCUCUGUUCACGGAUAAUUCAGAAACUCAGAGACAAAACAGUUCAACGCAAAAACUGGAAAAGGCAAAAAUACCAGAAGAAAAAGCAGAAAAGCCAUCUCAGGGUGAUGACUAUAAUUUGCAGAUACCCACUGAACCUUCCUCUACUCGUGGAUACAGCAAGAAUGAUACAAAGCAGAUCAAUGCAAUUUCUCAGGACUCAUCGGGGAUAGAUCUUUUGUUGAGAGAACAUCUGCCCGGUCAGCACAAAUCACCUGACCUCACAACAAAGGGUUCUACUGUCGGUAUGGUUACUACUGAUAUGAAACAGGAAAUAAAUGUAAAUGAUCGGAAACCUAGGUUUCCAAAAUCUACUAGUCCUGUUCCACAAGAAACCACGGAAACAACCACGGAUGUUACUGGAUAUUCUAAAGGAACUACGCCAGCUUCAGCUACUGCACCAGAAAAUACUUCUUCACCAUCAAUUGAGUCAACUUCAGUUUCUUCCUUAGAAUCUACUUCAGUUCCUUUGGAAGAAACUACUUCAGUUCCUUUGGAAGAAUUUACUUCAGUUCCUUUGGAAGAAACUACUUCAGUUCCUUUGGAAGAAACUACUUCAGUUCCUUUGGAAGAAACUACUUCAGUUCCUUUGGAAGAAUUUACUUCAGUUCCUUUGGAAGAAACUACUUCAGUUCCUUUGGAAGAAUUUACUUCAGUUCCUUUGGAAGAAACCACUUCAGUUCCUUUGGAAGAAACUACUUCAGCUUCUUUGGAAGAAUCCACUUCAAUCCCUUUGAUUGAGUCUACGUUAGAUCCUUUAUCAGAAACUACAUCAUCAUCAACCACUAAUCCUGCUAAUAUCUCUGAAACCGCUUUAGCAGCAAAUGUUACAAUUCCGGAAGGAGAUAAUGUAACUGUUUCAUAUCCAGAUAAUUCUACAGUUACUUUUCAUUACCAAGAAAAGAAACCUGAAAAUGAUACAACAAUCGUGCCUGGAGAGAAAACAAAUGAAACGUCUGCUGAAACGACCACAACAUCAACACUGGCACAGAAUGGAUCUGACGCUAGUACAAGUUCUUCUCCAACUGUAAAGGGAUACGAGUCUAUUAUCAAAGAUAAAUGUGAAUAUCCAGCAGAUCAUAUAUUCUGCAAUUUGAAGGAGCCAGCACCCGAAUGCAACAUAAUAUAUAACAAUAUGUCUCAAGAUCUUCAAAACAAGAUACUAGAUAAGCACAAUCAGCUCAGGAGACAGUUUGCUAAGGGAAUAGAUACAAACAUGAAGCCAGCUGCGAACAUGAAGAAAUUGGUUUGGGACAAUGAAUUAGCAGCCAGUGCACAGCUAUGGGCAGAUCAGUGUACUAAUAAGCAUUUACCUUUUGGGUUUCAGAAACUAAAUGAUUCAAUUAAAAUGAACACUGAGAACUUAUACCAUAUCUCCGGUUCAAAAAGUUUGGAUUAUUCUUCAGUUGGUUGGAAAAGAAGUUGAAUAAGGGAAUACAGGCCUGGUAUGAUGAAAUAACUUUGUAUGAAUCUCCUAAUAAUGAAAAGUUUAUUUUGCUAGGACCGGGGACAAUUCAUACCUACAUUUCUCGGCCAUUGUUUGGGCAGACAAUCAGCUGAUGGGAUGUGGUUUGGCGCAUUUUCAG